Molecule: ribosomal RNA, 433 nt
Filed under: uncultured bacterium
Lineage: Bacteria
Description: partial 16S ribosomal RNA
Rfam family: Bacterial small subunit ribosomal RNA
Source: RNAcentral
AACGAACGCUGGCAGCAUGCCUAACACAUGCAAGUCGAACGAGACCUUCGGGUCUAGUGGCGCACGGGUGCGUAACGCGUGGGAACCUGCCCUUAGGUUCGGAAUAACUCCCCGAAAGGGGUGCUAAUACCGGAUAAUGUCUUCGGACCAAAGAUUUAUCGCCUUUGGAUGGGCCCGCGUUGGAUUAGCUAGUUGGUAGGGUAAAAGCCUACCAAGGCGACGAUCCAUAGCUGGUCUGAGAGGAUGAUCAGCCACACUGGGACUGAGACACGGCCCAGACUCCUACGGGAGGCAGCAGUGGGGAAUAUUGGACAAUGGGCGAAAGCCUGAUCCAGCAAUGCCGCGUGAGUGAUGAAGGCCUUAGGGUUGUAAAGCUCUUUUACCCGGGAUGAUAAUGACAGUACCGGGAGGAUAAGCUCCGGCUAACUCCGUG